Molecule: long non-coding RNA, 4057 nt
Filed under: Marmota monax (woodchuck)
Lineage: Eukaryota; Metazoa; Chordata; Mammalia; Rodentia; Sciuridae
Source: RNAcentral
GCUGUUAUUUCUGUGACAUCCCUUGUCCAGGUACCAAAGUUGGGAGCUGGGUGGCAUUUGACAAAUCAGACAACACAGCGUCUCCAUCUGGACAGGAGAUGUCUCAAGUUCCCUUCAAGUUCUCUGACUCCGAGGAAUGCUUUUAUGGCUCCCCCUCUCUAAAAUUCUGACCCUUCAUUCACCCGUACACAGGUCCACAUGACGAUCCUCUGCACUCCAGCCCAGGCUCCUGGGACAGAGGAAAAUACUCCAGGUGAGAGCUAAGUCACAUUCCAUUUCACCCAAGAGUCAGAGGCAGGGAAGGAGUAAGGGAGCCCCUCGCUAAUGGUGCCCUUGAAAACAGAGAGGGCGCUGGGACCCCUUUCCGUGGCAUCACAGGGGCAACCGCCCCCUUGCAUGACAGGUGCCUGAAGCCCGCCCUGCCAGCACGGUCAGGAGUCUCAGGCCGUCUGCAGCAGGAGAACUUGGCCCCCCGUCACAGAAUGACAGAAGUGAGAAAAGCUCACCAGUGAUGCCCACCACUCCUCCAUUAGAGGCCACAGACCCAAAGAGGGUCUGGGGACUUGUUGGAGGCCACACAGCAAGCAAGAGCAGAGUGGGGGCUGCGAACAUGGCCCCUGGCUCCCUCCCUGGUGCUUCCCACUUUCUUUAACAGUGGAGCAGGGAGGAAGAAGGGCGGGUGGGAUAUCAUGCCAUGCUGACAGGCUCUGAUUUAAAAAUACUCAGAUCAGACGGGAGAUGAAGCCAAGGGCCCAUCUGCACGCCAGUCACCUGGGACUCCCAGUGUCAAUGCCAGCUGUGGCCAGGUGAUGACUUUCUAUAAACAACUGGAGCUCUUAAGCUUGGCUGGUGCUAGAGUGUGACAAGGGACAGAGGCAGAAAGGAGCAAAAGUCCUCUGUGGCCUACAAGACCCCAGGGAGGGCUUGGCUUAAGGUAGGGAAUGGGGAGAACUGGAGCAGGUGGACGGUGUGGGAGAGAGUCUGGAGCAGGAUACAAGCUGGGUCUCAAUGAGGCUCUGCUUCUCUUUGCCUUCACCUCGCCCCAACAUGGCUCCCUGUUCACACCCACCGAGUGGGUCCUGUGUGUGUGUGUGUGUGUGUGUGUGCGGUGGGGCAGGGGCCUGGUGCCUGAGACUGUAGAACUCAGAAAGAGACUGGAGUUGGGGAAGCCCUGGAAGAGGGGACAGCUCAGACUCCUAACUCUGAAAAUGACCUAGGCUGGUCCCUCAGGGCAGGUGGCUCUGGGUACUGGUGCUGUCCUGUACCUGAGUGUGUUUUGGUGUGCUACACAGCCUGGGCCUGUCUGUGCAUGACCCAGGAAGCCAGCAGCCAUUCCUGACAAGUCUCCACCUGUCCCGAGUCAAACCUCUCCAGGUGCCAUUUGAUGUGCUUGGCUGGGGAAUGUGACUUCUGUGUCACCUCUUCCUCUCCCUGGGGGCUUAGUGAUCCAGAGCCUCACAAGAAGCAAAGGGGCCUUGGAGCCCCUGUGGAGCAUCCAGUUGGCCACUCCUCUGCAGUCCCACAGCCUGCCACCCCCACACCCCCAACGGUGAGGAUCAUUAACCUUUUCUCAGAACCCCAAGGUGCCAGCAGAUUGGUCCCCAGCUACCAAGUAUCUGAUUUUGUCCCUUCCACCUCUGUGAACCCUCCUGCUCAGUGUUACAGCCCACAGGGACAGAGGUACAUAAAGAGGCUCUGAGGAGCUGGGACGCAGGGUCCCUUGGGCUUCACUUCAGGACCUCCUUGCACUUGGGCCCUGUGGACAUGGCCGGCUGGCAUGUCCCCAACAUGCCACCUUCCGUCUCAGUAAGUUUCCACAGGCCCUUCCCUCUGUGAGGCUGCUUCUCAGGUGCAGGGGAAAGUGGAGAAGCCUCCCUCCCUGCCCCUCGCCUCCCUUGACUGACUGAAGAAAGCAAUGCCGGCUAAGAACUCCAAUCCAAGCAUACCAACUUCCAUCGCUGGGGUCUGGGGAGGGCAGCCGGGCACUGCGGGACUGCCCCCCUACAGCUCAGAGCAGAGGCCUCUGAGGCUGGCUGAAGUUCAGGAACCACUGUUCUCGCAUUUUCUUUAUACCUCUGCCCCAUGCCCGUCACAGCAUUGCUGGAAUUACCAUUGCUGGCUCCUUGAGGACAGGGACUUGUCUUGCAGUCCCAGGAAAUGUGUCAGCCUUGUGAAUUAGACUCAGAUGUGCAUUUUAAUUAGAUGUCAUGUGAAUAAUUCCUCACCUCCCACUCACUCCCAUCUUCUCUACCCUUCCAUCCACCCAGGCCCCAGGGGGAAUCUUAUCUGCCCUCAGUACAAAAAGAAAAUUGUCCUCCUCUCUCUCACUUAUCUCCUCCUCUCCUUCCUUCCUUCUUCCCAGGUAGCCAUUGGGGGCUCGUGGAACUGAGAGCGAGGAUGGAAUAGGGUCUCGUGGAGUGAAAGGAAGCUCCGGGUGUAUGUCAGGGCUUGGGCGAGCAGAGUAGUGGGAGGGCGUGUGUGAGAUAUUGAUCCCUGCUCCAAUGUUGCCAAGACUUCAAAAGCCUUCUAGGUGUUUCCUGGGUUGCACUGUCCUCUCAAAAUACAAAAACAGACUGAGGGAGUCUAGCCUGAACCCCCUCGCACACAGACUCCUUCAAGGACACCCUGAGCCCUUCAUGGGCUCCCUUUGGGAUGGUCCCUUCCCGGGGGAUGCUGAGAGCCACUGCCGAGUCUGUAUGGCCCCUGGCAUUUUGCCAACAGUAUUGAUUGACAGGCGAGGCAUUACUAUCCGCCUCUGCCCCGACUUUUGAGUUCUCGCACUAUUUUGGAGUUCUCGUGGGGAUUUCCAGGGAUUCCCCGAGAGUUCCCAUUGGUUGGGGAAGUGCAGGAGGAAGGAUUUCCGGGAGAGAUAUUUCCGGCUGGGGGUUCCUGGACAAGCCUCGUGGCGUUAGGGAGGAUUCCCUGGGAGCUGUGUGAAGUGUUUUCCUGCAGUUUAAAAAUAAAGUUUGUUCCUGCUUCAGUGGCUCGUGACUUGUGCCCAGCCAGACUGCGGCGGGGGGGGCACAGGCCUGUGGAAAUAGAACUGGAAAUGGAGGGUGACCGUGGCCAAAGAGACAUACAUGCCGCAGAAGCACGGUACUGAGCCAACGUGCCAGACAGACCAGCUUCUGUCUGUACUCAGCCAAGGCCAGUGAUUUGCAGCACAAGAUUUCCAGGAACACAGAAGCAUGGCGAUCACUAGGGAUAUAUACAAUCCAGGUGUCCUCCCUCCCUCCCUCCCUCCCUCCUUCCUUCCUUCCUUCCUUCCUUCCUUCUAGAUGUCUUUUAAGAGUGAAAGGGGUGCUAGUGUUAAUUACACUAGGACAACAGGCACAAGCUGGGAUGUAAGGUCACUUCACCAUGUGUAUCCUGGAUCAGCCAUAUUUCUCCCAUGUGGUCUAGGCCAGGGGUACAGAUGUAGGAGGAAGGUGGGGUGUCUCCUGGCCCCUGGUCCCUCCCCACAACCUCUUAGCCCUCUUUCAACUCAAGAAGCCAGGAAGCAACUGGGUCGUCAGGAGCUCCAGCUAAAUGGGCCUUUGGCCAGGUACUUUACCUACAGUGACUCUGCUGUAACUCCACGUGCCUUCACACUGGGCCCUCAGCUCAUCUUUCCUCAUGAUAACCCUGGGCAAGUAUUAAAAGCUCCAUCUGAGAGGGGGCCACAGUUGUCAGAGCUGAUUCUGGAACCCAGGACUUCUGACUCACAGGCCAGAGUUCCUCCUUCCCCACAUGUACCCUCGUCAUGGGGCAGGAAAGAUGGCAGCUGGGGUUGUGGCUUGGAUUGAUGGGCGGGUACCCCACCUCUCAGUUGCCACCUCCCAGGACCUAUGCCAGCGGUAGUUCUGAUGGUAGAGAAAUCUGUCACUGGAGGGGUGAACUUCUGGGAGCAUCUGUGCAUUGAUAAAAUAUCCCAAGCAUUCAUUGAAUAUCUUACUUUGCACAGUCACCAUCAGAGCCCUAAAGAUGUGGCAGCAAGCAGAGUCUGCCCUUAAAGGUGUGUAAAGUCAUGUUAGAAAAUGACAAAUUUAGGGGGAAAGAUGGUGGAAGGAGAUGGACA